AAGGACUUAGUUUAUUUGUAAAAUAUUAAAUUGUAAAUUUAAAGUAAGUGUUCUUG
This 56-nucleotide transfer RNA is filed under the name Hypodontus macropi. Its description in RNAcentral is "tRNA-Tyr". The record is from RNAcentral. Lineage: Eukaryota; Metazoa; Nematoda; Chromadorea; Rhabditida; Strongylidae.